Molecule: ribosomal RNA, 872 nt
Filed under: uncultured Pseudomonadales bacterium
Lineage: Bacteria; Pseudomonadati; Pseudomonadota; Gammaproteobacteria; Pseudomonadales
Description: bacterial SSU rRNA
Rfam family: Bacterial small subunit ribosomal RNA
Source: RNAcentral
AUUGAACGCUGGCGGCAGGCCUAACACAUGCAAGUCGAGCGGAUGAAGGGAGCUUGCUCCUGGAUUCAGCGGCGGACGGGUGAGUAAUGCCUAGGAAUCUGCCUGGUAGUGGGGGAUAACGUCCGGAAACGGGCGCUAAUACCGCAUACGUCCUGAGGGAGAAAGUGGGGGAUCUUCGGACCUCACGCUAUCAGAUGAGCCUAGGUCGGAUUAGCUAGUUGGUGGGGUAAAGGCCUACCAAGGCGACGAUCCGUAACUGGUCUGAGAGGAUGAUCAGUCACACUGGAACUGAGACACGGUCCAGACUCCUACGGGAGGCAGCAGUGGGGAAUAUUGGACAAUGGGCGAAAGCCUGAUCCAGCCAUGCCGCGUGUGUGAAGAAGGUCUUCGGAUUGUAAAGCACUUUAAGUUGGGAGGAAGGGCAGUAAGUUAAUACCUUGCUGUUUUGACGUUACCAACAGAAUAAGCACCGGCUAACUUCGUGCCAGCAGCCGCGGUAAUACGAAGGGUGCAAGCGUUAAUCGGAAUUACUGGGCGUAAAGCGCGCGUAGGUGGUUCAGCAAGUUGGAUGUGAAAUCCCCGGGCUCAACCUGGGAACUGCAUCCAAAACUACUGAGCUAGAGUACGGUAGAGGGUGGUGGAAUUUCCUGUGUAGCGGUGAAAUGCGUAGAUAUAGGAAGGAACACCAGUGGCGAAGGCGACCACCUGGACUGAUACUGACACUGAGGUGCGAAAGCGUGGGGAGCAAACAGGAUUGGAUACCCUGGUAGUCCACGCCGUAAACGAUGUCGACUAGCCGUUGGGAUCCUUGAGAUCUUAGUGGCGCAGCUAACGCGAUAAGUCGACCGCCUGGGGAGUACGGCCGCAAGUUU